RNAcentral lists this long non-coding RNA (278 nucleotides) under Panax ginseng (ginseng). RNAcentral describes it as "long non-coding RNA (PGIN_LNC016606)". Lineage: Eukaryota; Viridiplantae; Streptophyta; Magnoliopsida; Apiales; Araliaceae. The record is from RNAcentral.
GUGAAUCCACUAACAAUUAUUCAACAAUAUCUGGUUGAGAUAGAUUGUUGAAUUUGGUGAUGUAACUAUUUACCACCAUAGACAUAUGGUUUAAUUUAUUUAAAAUUUCCUGUUCACUAAACCCAUCAAUGUUCCAUUCAUAAAUUUUAUUAGAUGAAACUGAGAACUGUUUAUCUAGGUUUCUCUCUUCGAACUGUAAGUCCGGAGGAGUAGGUCUAGAAUACCAAUUUCUAGUUAUACUGGUGUUUUUAACUGUUAAUUUGUUUAGCUGAUCAUUU